RNAcentral lists this ribosomal RNA (402 nucleotides) under uncultured bacterium. RNAcentral describes it as "bacterial SSU rRNA". It matches the Rfam family "Bacterial small subunit ribosomal RNA", at positions 355 to 774 of the family's 1533-position model. The record is from RNAcentral.
UCGGGAAUUUUGGGCAAUGGGCGAAAGCCUGACCCAGCAACGCCGCGUGAGGGAUGAAGUAUUUCGGUAUGUAAACCUCGAAAGAAUGGGAAGAAUAAAUGACGGUACCAUUUAUAAGCUCCGGCUAACUACGUGCCAGCAGCCGCGGUAAUACGUAGGGAGCGAGCGUUGUUCGGAUUUACUGGGCGUGAAGGGCGCGUAGGCGGCGCGGUAAGUCACUUGUGAAAUCUCUGAGCUUAACUCAGAACGGCCAAGUGAUACUGCUGUGCUAGAGUGCGGAAGAGGCAACCGGAAUUCUUGGUGUAGCGGUGAAAUGCGUAGAUAUCAAGAGGAACACCUGAGGCGAAGGCGGGUUGCUGGGCCGACACUGACGCUGAUGCGCGAAAGCCAGGGGAGCAAACG